GAUGAACGCUAGCGGCAGGCUUAAUACAUGCAAGUCGUGGGGCAGCAGGACUGUAGCAAUACAGUUGCUGGCGACCGGCAAACGGGUGCGGAACACGUACGCAAUCUACCCAGAACUGGUGAAUAGCCCUCCGAAAGGAGGAUUAAUACACCGUAAUAUUAUAAAGUGGCAUCACUUAAUAAUUAAAGCUCCGGCGGUUUUGGAUGAGCGUGCGGCCCAUUAGGUAGUUGGUUGAGGUAAUGGCACACCAAGCCUGCGAUGGGUAACUGGUGGGAGAGCACGACCAGUCACACGGGCACUGGGACACGGGCCCGACUCCUACGGGAGGCAGCAGUAAGGAAUAUUGGUCAAUGGACGCAAGUCUGAACCAGCCAUGCCGCGUGGGGGAUGAAGGCCCUCUGGGUUGUAAACUUCUUUUAUGGGGGACGAAAUCACUUAUUCUUAAGUGUCUGACGGUACCCCAGGAAUAAGCACCGGCUAACUCCGUGCCAGCCGCCGCCGUAA
RNAcentral lists this ribosomal RNA (504 nucleotides) under uncultured bacterium. Its description in RNAcentral is "partial 16S ribosomal RNA". It matches the Rfam family "Bacterial small subunit ribosomal RNA", at positions 28 to 523 of the family's 1533-position model. The record is from RNAcentral.